Molecule: ribosomal RNA, 254 nt
Filed under: uncultured bacterium
Lineage: Bacteria
Description: partial 16S ribosomal RNA
Rfam family: Bacterial small subunit ribosomal RNA
Source: RNAcentral
UACGUAGGUGGCAAGCAUUGUCCGGAUUUACUGGGCGUAAAGAGCGCGCAGGCGGUCGUUCAAGUCGCGUGUGAAAGCCCCCGGCUCAACUGGGGAGGGUCACGCGAUACUGAUCGACUCGAAGGCAGGAGAGGGUAGUGGAAUUCCCUGUGUAGUGGUGAAAUGCGUAGAUAUCGGGAGGAACACCAGUGGCGAAGGCGACUACCUGGGCUGUUUCUUGACGCUGAGGCGCGAAAGCUAGGGGAGCAAACGGG